RNA transcript from Populus trichocarpa (black cottonwood), 1747 nucleotides. It is a transcript of the gene named protein ABIL1, with no coding region annotated. The transcript has 10 exons. The record is from RefSeq and is a predicted model, not a curated record. Lineage: Eukaryota; Viridiplantae; Streptophyta; Magnoliopsida; Malpighiales; Salicaceae.
CACUAGUCUCCUCUCUCUCUCUCUCUCUCAAGUGAAAGCCUGUCAAUUCUAAAAAAUAAACACAGCAGUUCUAAAAAACUCUCAAGUCAUUUUCGCUGGCCAUGAACUCCAAAUAUUACAAAUUCCCACUGCUCGGAAUCGCUUCUGCUUCACUCACUCUCUUAAUAAUCUCUCUCUCUGUCUCAUUCUUUCUACUAACCUUCUUCUUUUCGCCCACCAUAACCUAACCCCAAAUCUAACCAUUUAUAAGCAUAUACUAAUAUACAAUCUUAUAAUAAUAAUAAUAAUAAAGUAGUCAUUCAACAUUUAUUUUCUUAUAGUCUACGGUUUGCGCGUCAAGUAGUCAUUUAUUUUCUUAUAGUCAUUCAAUACUUAAAGGAAACUUAUAGCUGAAAUUUUUUGAAAGAGGAGAGAGAGAGAUGAUGGAACUGGACCAAACGAGGCCGGAGAACCCGGCCAUGACUUUCGAUGAGGUGUCCAUGGAGCGUAGCAAGAGCUUCAUCAAAGCCUUGCAGGAGCUGAAGAACUUAAGGCCUCAAUUGUAUUCUGCUGCCGAAUAUUGUGAGAAGUCUUAUCUUCAUAGCGAGCAGAAACAGACGGUACUGGACAACCUGAAAGAUUAUGCCGUGCGAGCUCUUGUUAAUGCUGUCGAUCACCUUGGUACUGUGGCUUACAAGUUAACUGACCUUCUUGAGCAACAAACAUUUGAUGUCUCAACCAUGGAGGUUAAGGUUUCUUGUCUGAAUCAGCAAUUUCUUACAUGCCAAACAUAUACAGUUAAGGGAGGUCUUCGACAACAGCAGCUGUUGGCAUUCAUCCCAAGACAUCACAAGCACUACAUUUUGCCAAACUCUGUCAAUAAGAAGGUACAUUUUAGCCCACAAAUACAGACUGAUGCAAGACAAAAUCAUUUUCAAGCUAGAUCUCGUCUUCAGCUUUCAGGUUCCCCAGCAUCAAAAACUCUUUCCUGGCACUUAGUUUCUGAGACCAAGUCUACACUGAAAGGGACUCUGCAUGCUAUGACAAGUAAUGAAGAUGCAAAAGCUUCUGGAAAAUCUUCUGCAGUUUUUCAACUCUUGGAUGAAGAAGAGAGUAGAAAAACAAGAUCCUCAGGAGGUCUUGCUCAACUAUCAAGCAGAGGUCCUGCAGCUGGUGCAAUCAUGCCAACAUUUGAUGUCCCACGCAGGGAAUUGUUGGAUACUUCUAAGCCUUUGACAGCAUUCAGGUCAUUUGACAACCCAAGGCAUGAGAUUGUGCGUGCUCCUGUUCGUAGUAAAAGCAUGCUAUCAGCUUUCUUUGUAAAACAGAAAACCCCGAAGUUGAAGGCUGGCUCUGCUUCGUGAAUCCUAGGUGGAGCAAAUUGAAUGUUACCAGUAAAUGUCUCCAAUUGCUGUUGAUAAUGAGUUCUUCUCAGCUCACUAGUUAGUCAAUUUGUCAAAAUUAUAUCUUGUUCCACUUCAAUAAUUCCCCUAGCUUGACUCUGAUAAUGGGCAUGCUGUGCAUAAAGAUCCAGUGAUGAAUAUAAUCGAGAUUGUCUGCUGCCUGAAUUUUUUGCCCCUGGCCUAUGUUAAUAAAGUUGGGUUCUGAUGGUGGUCGAUGUCACAGUGCAUUGUGUUACGUUGCUGAGAUUGAUAGCACAAAUUUACAUGAUGUCAGAUUGGUGUUGUUUGUGAAUACGUUCCGUUUAGGAUGUACUAACACUGAUUUUUGGAAAAUCAUGUAAUUUGAAAUUGCGAGUUCGUUUGUA